UUUACAGUCUACCGUUGAUGUUGUAGGAAGUACCGGCGAAGUCCAGCUGCCGCAGCAUCCCCCGAUUACCCUUCGUAUUGCUUGUAUCCACUGGACCACCAUUGAAUCGACGGCGGUGAUAGGGUUCUCGGCGACAAACCCAGAUGCUGAGUUUUCCAAUGGAAGCAGUAAUUGGACAUACGCAUAGAAGGCUGCUUGCGUUGACAUCUACAAGCUUUUGUAGCUUUCAUGCAAUAUACCCUUCCUUAGGUACAUUAUCUUUCCAUAAGAGAGUUGGACUACAUAAUAAUUCUUUGUUGAAGAGACGAGAUGAUUGUGACAAGGAGCCACUUUCUCUCUCAAGCUUUGCCCUUAAUUCUGAUGUUGAGACUUCAAAGAAAGAAAAUGUAUUUCUUCUAAAGAAAUCGAACUCGGCUGCAGGAGUUUCUUCGGACAAGAUAAAAACAAUAAAGAAUAGCUGGACUAAAACAACAGGUAUGAAAAGUGCUGUUGAAAUAGAGGAGGCACCAUUUGCUCCCAAGUCAUUCGUUGAGCUUGGUCUUUCUUCUCUGCUGGUUAAACAAUUAGAAAAAGAAGGUUUGACUGUACCUACUGAAGUCCAGUGUGCUGCGAUUCCUGUAAUUUCAAAGAAGCAUGACGUUGUCAUUCAAUCUUAUACUGGUUCUGGAAAGACUCUUGCUUACCUUCUCCCUAUUCUCUCUAUGGUUGGCCCUCUGAAGGAACCUAAUGGGGAGGAAGAAAAUCAAUCAAACCAGAAAAGUGGCAUAGAAGCAAUCAUUGUGGCUCCUUCAAGGGAGUUGGGGAUGCAGAUAGUUAGAGAGGUGGAGAGAUUGCUGGGUCCUGCACUUAAAAGUUUUGUUCAGCAACUUGUUGGCGGUGCAAACCGUUCAAGGCAGGAAGAAGCCCUGAAGAAGAACAAACCACUUAUUGUUGUUGGAACCCCUGGCCGCAUUGCAGAGAUAUCAGCAGCUGGAAAGCUCCACACGCAUGGUUGUCGUUUUUUGGUUCUCGAUGAAGUUGAUGAGCUCUUGUCUUUCAACUAUCGAGAGGAUAUGCACAGAAUACUUGAACAUGUGGGAAGAAAGCCUGCUGCAACCUCUAAUGGUGCUCUUGGUCCUCUUGCAAAGUGGUCCGAGCGACAAACCAUCAUGGUAUCGGCAACAGUUCCAUUCUCAGUUGUGAGGGCAGCUAAAAGCUGGGGCGUGAAUCCUUUAUUGGUUAGAGCCCAAAGUGUUGUUUCUCUGGAUUCCAUUUCUGCUUCUGGAGUUGGCUUAGUAGCUUCGACUUCCUCCACUAAAAACUUGGUAACCCAAGCCGCUGUUGGAAGCUUGCCUCCAGGAUUGAAACAUUAUUAUUGUGUUGCCAAGGCACAGCACAAAAUUGACACUUUAAGAAGAUGCAUUCAUGCUUUGGAUGCAAAGAUGGUCAUUGUCUUCAUGAACCACUCAAAGCCAUUGAAGGAUCUUGUUUUUAAACUAGAGGCAAGGGGAAUGAAGGCAGCUGAAUUACAUGGAAACCUGAGCAAACUCUCAAGAACAACCACCCUGAAGAAUUUCAAGGAUGGUGAUAUUAGAGUGUUGGCCACAAAUGAGCUUUCUGCAAGGGGAUUGGAUGUGCCAGAGUGUGACCUAGCUGUGAACUUGGAUCUUCCUACAGAUUCAGUUCACUAUGCUCACCGAGCAGGUCGAACAGGAAGACUUGGCCGGAAAGGUACUGUUGUCACAAUAUGUGAAGAGCCAGAGGUGUUUGUGGUGAAAAAGCUGCGCAGGCAACUGGGCAUAGGGAUCCAAUUAUGUGAACUUUCUGAAGGUAGGCUUCUUGUUUGCAAAGAGGAAGAAGAUGAGAAAUCACAGUCUAUGAGCUGAGUUCUUCCUGUUGUGCCAAUUUUUUUAAUGGUCAAGGUAAGGGAAAGAGCAGAAUGAGUAGAGAAUAGUUGCAAUAUCUAAGAUAUGUGUUUAUGUAGUAUUGUGGAAACGCUGUGGAUUGAGCUGCUACAAGUGAUUUCUCUUCUGAUGUUGUUGUGAUGCAUGUCUACCGGAAGAGAGUUCUCUUUUCUCUUAUCCUUUUGUUUGAAACUAAUAGCUUGAUUCCUGAUGGCUGGUGUUUGAAGGCAGCCGGAAGUAAUGUCGACUAGGUGUGCAAAUGAGUUGAGUAAAUUUGCGAGCUGGUUUGAAUUUGACUCGUUAACGAGCUCGCGAGUUGAAUUUAUCGAGUUUCGAGUUUGAGCAUAUUUUUGAGCUCGUUGAAUAUUGAGCUUGAGUUUGAUCGAGAUGAAGCUCGGUUUGAUCACUCAUCGUGCGGCUCGAGUUUGUUCAUCGAAGUGGCGUAAGGCGCAAGGCAUAAGCUAACUCUUCAAACCGAAUCACUUAUUGGGUUUUUUUCUAAUCGUGCGAAGGGAUUGUGAGCGAGUGUUAGGGUUUUUCUUUUUGCUUGUUGUGGUCGUGAGUGGGAGGAGUGGUGCCAGGCGAGUUCCUGUGGCGACUGAGAAAUU
RNA transcript from Dendrobium catenatum, 2491 nucleotides. It is a transcript of the gene named DEAD-box ATP-dependent RNA helicase 47A, with no coding region annotated. The transcript is spliced from 4 exons. Lineage: Eukaryota; Viridiplantae; Streptophyta; Magnoliopsida; Asparagales; Orchidaceae. The record is from RefSeq and is a predicted model, not a curated record.